CAUGAGUUGUGCCUAUCAGAAAGAAAAAAAAUAUGCGUCUUUUUUUCACAUGAGGCAUAGAUUUGCUUCUCAUGGAGGCAUAUGUUUGCUUCUAGGAGAGGCACAACAACUGUGCCUCUCGGAAAGAGAAAAAACGUGUUUUUUUCUUCCACAAGAGACACAAAUUUGCUUCUCAUAAAAGCAUAAUUGUGCCUCUCAGAAAAGGGAGGAAAAGUGAAAAUAAAAUCAUGCUUCCGGUUCGGUUUUCUUUCUUCCAUUUUUUUUCUGUUUUUUUGUGCGGUGCGAGAAAUCCAAAGUGAAAACGGUUUGCGAUUUGAACGCACGAUUUAAGAGGUAAGACAUUUCAAUAAUUGAGUCUAAAAAAAGGAAAGAUUUCCAAAUCAAUAAUUUCAUUUAACAUGUUAACAUGCAGUGAUCACUUGUCACAAUCUUAACAUACCUCCAAAGGGCACCGCUUAAUCAGUGAUUUCGAAUAAACGGGCCGUGCAGGGUCGCUGCGUGUGCCUUGCCUCGCCCAGAGGGCACAACUGCUCGCGGGCUCGCGGCCCGGCCUGUUUGGCCACCUAUAUGCCGUAUCCCGACGGCAACCAGCGUGUUCGCACGAAUCUGCUAGAGCAGUUGUGCCCGGAGCCAGAACCCUCGUGCUCCUCCGGCGGCGACGGGCGGCGGAGGUGUGGAACUCGUCACAGCGCACAGGCACCAGAGCAUUCACAUCUGAAGGCCCACAUCUUGGAAAACAAACUUUUUUUGAGAAGCUUCAUCCCUUGGUCAUCACAAACUUGUACAGUUCAAAUAACAAGAUUAGUGCCUCUGCUGCGUCUAUUGUUUUAGUUGGUUCAAGUGAGGAACUUGGGAUUAUCAGUAACUGUUCAUGAGGAGUUUUCGUUUGGACAGUCUGACCAUUGCUAGUCCAAUGUUUCGUCAAAGGUUUAUUGCUGAUGGAAUUGAAGCUUUGGUCAGGAUAGGUAUCCCAGUUAACGCUGCUAUCUCCUUGUGGUAGAACUGUUUGUUCUUUGGUCGGAACCUGAUCUUAUUCAUUAUAGGUGUACUUGUUGGAGGAAAUUUUGCCGUCAAGCAAAUGUUUCCCUUGCUUAGGAUUCUUGUUAUAAUCUCAUGUAUCGACUAGCAAUCCAGAUGAGUAAUCCAGAGUCGCAACAUAGUUGGAACUUCUUUGCUCUAACUGAUGAUGGUUCCAGCUGUGAGGCAAUCUGCUGCAGAGAGGACCUGAUGCCAAAACUUCGUGGAGAAGACACCCUGUGAGCUGUGAGGAAAGGAUCGUCGGUCUGGCCACAAAGCACGUUUGCUCCUGGGGAACGGUCGCGAGUUAUCAGUUCUCAAAAUGAUAUAUAUGUGUGCAAAGUUUUUCUACUGAAAUAAUACACCCUUAAACCUUUGCAGCGUGUUUUGGCAAUAUUUAGAAAGGGAAUGGGAGUUACAGCA
Long non-coding RNA from Aegilops tauschii subsp. strangulata, 1440 nucleotides. RefSeq lists it as uncharacterized. The record is from RefSeq and is a predicted model, not a curated record. NCBI's taxonomy places the organism in Eukaryota, Viridiplantae, Streptophyta, Magnoliopsida, Poales, Poaceae.